RNAcentral lists this ribosomal RNA (2903 nucleotides) under Enterobacter hormaechei. RNAcentral describes it as "23S ribosomal RNA". It matches the Rfam family "Bacterial large subunit ribosomal RNA". Lineage: Bacteria; Pseudomonadati; Pseudomonadota; Gammaproteobacteria; Enterobacterales; Enterobacteriaceae. The record is from RNAcentral.
GGUUAAGCGACUAAGCGUACACGGUGGAUGCCCUGGCAGUCAGAGGCGAUGAAGGACGUGCUAAUCUGCGAAAAGCGCCGGCGAGGUGAUAUGAACCUUUGACCCGUCGAUGUCCGAAUGGGGAAACCCAGUGUGUUCCGACACACUAUCGUUAACUGAAUACAUAGGUUAACGAGGCGAACCGGGGGAACUGAAACAUCUAAGUACCCCGAGGAAAAGAAAUCAACCGAGAUUCCCCCAGUAGCGGCGAGCGAACGGGGAGCAGCCCGGAGUCUGAAUCAGCUUGUGUGUUAGUGGAACGGUCUGGAAAGUCCGACGGUACAGGGUGAUAGUCCCGUACACGAAAAUACACUUGCUGUGAACUCGAAGAGUAGGGCGGGACACGUGGUAUCCUGUCUGAAUAUGGGGGGACCAUCCUCCAAGGCUAAAUACUCCUGACUGACCGAUAGUGAACCAGUACCGUGAGGGAAAGGCGAAAAGAACCCCGGCGAGGGGAGUGAAAAAGAACCUGAAACCGUGUACGUACAAGCAGUGGGAGCACCUUCGGGUGUGACUGCGUACCUUUUGUAUAAUGGGUCAGCGACUUAUAUUCUGUAGCAAGGUUAACCGUAUAGGGGAGCCGAAGGGAAACCGAGUCUUAACUGGGCGUUAAGUUGCAGGGUAUAGACCCGAAACCCGGUGAUCUAGCCAUGGGCAGGUUGAAGGUUGGGUAACACUAACUGGAGGACCGAACCGACUAAUGUUGAAAAAUUAGCGGAUGACCUGUGGCUGGGGGUGAAAGGCCAAUCAAACCGGGAGAUAGCUGGUUCUCCCCGAAAGCUAUUUAGGUAGCGCCUCGUGAACUCAUCUUCGGGGGUAGAGCACUGUUUCGGCUAGGGGGCCAUCCCGGCUUACCAACCCGAUGCAAACUACGAAUACCGAAGAAUGUUAUCACGGGAGACACACGGCGGGUGCUAACGUCCGUCGUGAAGAGGGAAACAACCCAGACCGCCAGCUAAGGUCCCAAAGUCAUGGUUAAGUGGGAAACGAUGUGGGAAGGCACAGACAGCCAGGAUGUUGGCUUAGAAGCAGCCAUCAUUUAAAGAAAGCGUAAUAGCUCACUGGUCGAGUCGGCCUGCGCGGAAGAUGUAACGGGGCUAAACCAUGCACCGAAGCUGCGGCAGCGACACUAUGUGUUGUUGGGUAGGGGAGCGUUCUGUAAGCCGUUGAAGGUGUGCUGUGAGGCAUGCUGGAGGUAUCAGAAGUGCGAAUGCUGACAUAAGUAACGAUAAAGCGGGUGAAAAGCCCGCUCGCCGGAAGACCAAGGGUUCCUGUCCAACGUUAAUCGGGGCAGGGUGAGUCGACCCCUAAGGCGAGGCCGAAAGGCGUAGUCGAUGGGAAACAGGUUAAUAUUCCUGUACUUGGUGUUACUGCGAAGGGGGGACGGAGAAGGCUAUGUCAGCCGGGCGACGGUUGUCCCGGUUUAAGCAUGUAGGCGGAGGUUCCAGGUAAAUCCGGUACCUUUUAACGCUGAGGUGUGAUGACGAGGCACUACGGUGCUGAAGUGAUAAAUGCCCUGCUUCCAGGAAAAGCCUCUAAGCAUCAGGUAACACGAAAUCGUACCCCAAACCGACACAGGUGGUCAGGUAGAGAAUACCAAGGCGCUUGAGAGAACUCGGGUGAAGGAACUAGGCAAAAUGGUGCCGUAACUUCGGGAGAAGGCACGCUGAUAUGUAGGUGAAGCCCCUGCGGGCGGAGCUGAAAUCAGUCGAAGAUACCAGCUGGCUGCAACUGUUUAUUAAAAACACAGCACUGUGCAAACACGAAAGUGGACGUAUACGGUGUGACGCCUGCCCGGUGCCGGAAGGUUAAUUGAUGGGGUUAGCGGCAACGCGAAGCUCUUGAUCGAAGCCCCGGUAAACGGCGGCCGUAACUAUAACGGUCCUAAGGUAGCGAAAUUCCUUGUCGGGUAAGUUCCGACCUGCACGAAUGGCGUAAUGAUGGCCAGGCUGUCUCCACCCGAGACUCAGUGAAAUUGAACUCGCUGUGAAGAUGCAGUGUACCCGCGGCAAGACGGAAAGACCCCGUGAACCUUUACUAUAGCUUGACACUGAACACUGGUCCUUGAUGUGUAGGAUAGGUGGGAGGCUUUGAAGCGUGGACGCCAGUCUGCGUGGAGCCAUCCUUGAAAUACCACCCUUUAAUGGCUGGUGUUCUAACGUAGACCCGUGAUCCGGGUUGCGGACAGUGUCUGGUGGGUAGUUUGACUGGGGCGGUCUCCUCCCAAAGAGUAACGGAGGAGCACGAAGGUUGGCUAAUCCUGGUCGGACAUCAGGAGGUUAGUGCAAUGGCAUAAGCCAGCUUGACUGCGAGCGUGACGGCGCGAGCAGGUGCGAAAGCAGGUCAUAGUGAUCCGGUGGUUCUGAAUGGAAGGGCCAUCGCUCAACGGAUAAAAGGUACUCCGGGGAUAACAGGCUGAUACCGCCCAAGAGUUCAUAUCGACGGCGGUGUUUGGCACCUCGAUGUCGGCUCAUCACAUCCUGGGGCUGAAGUAGGUCCCAAGGGUAUGGCUGUUCGCCAUUUAAAGUGGUACGCGAGCUGGGUUUAGAACGUCGUGAGACAGUUCGGUCCCUAUCUGCCGUGGGCGCUGGAGAAUUGAGGGGGGCUGCUCCUAGUACGAGAGGACCGGAGUGGACGCAUCACUGGUGUUCGGGUUGUCAUGCCAAUGGCACUGCCCGGUAGCUAAAUGCGGAAGAGAUAAGUGCUGAAAGCAUCUAAGCACGAAACUUGCCCCGAGAUGAGUUCUCCCUGAGACUUUAAGUCUCCUGAAGGAACGUUGAAGACGACGACGUUGAUAGGUCGGGUGUGUAAGCGCAGCGAUGCGUUGAGCUAACCGAUACUAAUGAACCGUGAGGCUUAACCUU